UACAGCCAUAUCACAUUGAAACACUAGUUCUCAUAUGAUCACUGAAAUUAAACAACAUUGAGCCUGGUCAGUACCUAGAUGGGUCACUACUUGGGAAUACCAAUUGCUGCAAG
Non-coding RNA from Acanthosepion pharaonis, 113 nucleotides. The record is from the annotation of a GenBank genome assembly. Lineage: Eukaryota; Metazoa; Mollusca; Cephalopoda; Sepiida; Sepiidae.